GCAACCUACUUUUACUGGGGGAUAGCCCGUCGAAAGACGGAUUAAUACCGCAUAAUACAACUUGAGGGCAUCUGAGGGUUGUUAAAGAUUUAUUGGUAAGAGAUGGGCAUGCGUGCCAUUAGCUAGUUGGUUGAGGUAACGGCUCACCAAGGCGACGAUGGCUAGGGGUUCUGAGAGGAUGAUCCCCCACACUGGUACUGAGAUACGGACCAGACUCCUACGGGAGGCAGCAGUAGGGAAUAUUGGGCAAUGGGCGCAAGCCUGACCCAGCCAUGCCGCGUGCAGGAUGAAGGCCUUCUGGGUUGUAAACUGCUUUUAUCUAGGAAGAAAAUACCCUUGCGAGGGGAACUGACGGUACUAGGUGAAUAAGCACCGGCUAACUCCGUGCCAGCAGCCGCGGUAAUACGGAGGGUGCAAGCGUUGUCCGGAUUUAUUGGGUUUAAAGGGUGCGUAGGCGGCUUUAUAAGUCCGUGGUGAAAGCCAACAGCUCAACUGUUGAACUGCCAUGGAUACUGUAAGGCUUGAGUACAGACGAGGUAGGCGGAAUGGAUGGUGUAGCGGUGAAAUGCAUAGAUACCAUCCAGAACCCCGAUUGCGUAGGCAGCUUACUAGGCUGUAACUGACGCUGAGGCACGAAAGCGUGGGGAGCGAACAGGAUUAGAUACCCUGGUAGUCCACGCUGUAAACGAUGAUUACUCGAUGUUGGCGAUACACAGUCAGCGUCUUAGCGAAAGCGUUAAGUAAUCCACCUGGGGAGUACGCCCGCAAGGGUGAAACUCAAAGGAAUUGACGGGGGCCCGCACAAGCGGUGGAGCAUGUGGUUUAAUUCGAUG
RNAcentral lists this ribosomal RNA (833 nucleotides) under uncultured Bacteroidota bacterium. RNAcentral's name for it is "bacterial SSU rRNA". It matches the Rfam family "Bacterial small subunit ribosomal RNA", at positions 121 to 956 of the family's 1533-position model. Lineage: Bacteria; Pseudomonadati; Bacteroidota. The record is from RNAcentral.